CACUAUCGUUAACUGAAUACAUAGGUUAACGAGGCGAACCGGGGGAACUGAAACAUCUAAGUACCCCGAGGAAAAGAAAUCAACCGAGAUUCCCCCAGUAGCGGCGAGCGAACGGGGAGCAGCCCAGAGUCUGAAUCAGCUUGUGUGUUAGUGGAACGGUCUGGAAAGUCCGACGGUACAGGGUGAUAGUCCCGUACACCAAAAUGCACAGGCUGUGAACUCGAAGAGUAGGGCGGGACACGUGGUAUCCUGUCUGAAUAUGGGGGGACCAUCCUCCAAGGCUAAAUACUCCUGACUGACCGAUAGUGAACCAGUACCGUGAGGGAAAGGCGAAAAGAACCCCGGCGAGGGGAGUGAAAAAGAACCUGAAACCGUGUACGUACAAGCAGUGGGAGCACCUUCGGGUGUGACUGCGUACCUUUUGUAUAAUGGGUCAGCGACUUAUAUUCUGUAGCAAGGUUAACCGUAUAGGGGAGCCGCAGGGAAACCGAGUCUUAACUGGGCGUUAAGUUGCAGGGUAUAGACCCGAAACCCGGUGAUCUAGCCAUGGGCAGGUUGAAGGUUGGGUAACACUAACUGGAGGACCGAACCGACUAAUGUUGAAAAAUUAGCGGAUGACUUGUGGCUGGGGGUGAAAGGCCAAUCAAACCGGGAGAUAGCUGGUUCUCCCCGAAAGCUAUUUAGGUAGCGCCUCGUGAACUCAUCUUCGGGGGUAGAGCACUGUUUCGGCUAGGGGGUCAUCCCGACUUACCAACCCGAUGCAAACUACGAAUACCGAAGAAUGUUAUCACGGGAGACACACGGCGGGUGCUAACGUCCGUCGUGAAGAGGGAAACAACCCAGACCGCCAGCUAAGGUCCCAAAGUCAUGGUUAAGUGGGAAACGAUGUGGGAAGGCACAGACAGCCAGGAUGUUGGCUUAGAAGCAGCCAUCAUUUAAAGAAAGCGUAAUAGCUCACUGGUCGAGUCGGCCUGCGCGGAAGAUGUAACGGGGCUAAACCAUGCACCGAAGCUGCGGCAGCGACACUAUGUGUUGUUGGGUAGGGGAGCGUUCUGUAAGCCUGCGAAGGUGUGCUGUGAGGCAUGCUGGAGGUAUCAGAAGUGCGAAUGCUGACAUAAGUAACGAUAAAGCGGGUGAAAAGCCCGCUCGCCGGAAGACCAAGGGUUCCUGUCCAACGUUAAUCGGGGCAGGGUGAGUCGACCCCUAAGGCGAGGCCGAAAGGCGUAGUCGAUGGGAAACAGGUUAAUAUUCCUGUACUUGGUGUUACUGCGAAGGGGGGACGGAGAAGGCUAUGUUAGCCGGGCGACGGUUGUCCCGGUUUAAGCAUGUAGGCUGAUUGUCCAGGCAAAUCCGGAUAAUCAAGGCUGAGGUGUGAUGACGAGGCACUACGGUGCUGAAGUAACAAAUGCCCUGCUUCCAGGAAAAGCCUCUAAGCAUCAGGUAACAUUAAAUCGUACCCCAAACCGACACAGGUGGUCAGGUAGAGAAUACCAAGGCGCUUGAGAGAACUCGGGUGAAGGAACUAGGCAAAAUGGUGCCGUAACUUCGGGAGAAGGCACGCUGGUGUGUAGGUGAAGUCCCUGCGGAUGGAGCUGAGACCAGUCGAAGAUACCAGCUGGCUGCAACUGUUUAUUAAAAACACAGCACUGUGCAAACACGAAAGUGGACGUAUACGGUGUGACGCCUGCCCGGUGCCGGAAGGUUAAUUGAUGGGGUUAUCCGUAAGGAGAAGCUCUUGAUCGAAGCCCCGGUAAACGGCGGCCGUAACUAUAACGGUCCUAAGGUAGCGAAAUUCCUUGUCGGGUAAGUUCCGACCUGCACGAAUGGCGUAAUGAUGGCCAGGCUGUCUCCACCCGAGACUCAGUGAAAUUGAACUCGCUGUGAAGAUGCAGUGUACCCGCGGCAAGACGGAAAGACCCCGUGAACCUUUACUAUAGCUUGACACUGAACAUUGAGCCUUGAUGUGUAGGAUAGGUGGGAGGCUUUGAAGCGUGGACGCCAGUCUGCGUGGAGCCAACCUUGAAAUACCACCCUUUAAUGUUUGAUGUUCUAACGUUGGCCCCUUACCGGGGUUGCGGACAGUGUCUGGUGGGUAGUUUGACUGGGGCGGUCUCCUCCCAAAGCGUAACGGAGGAGCACGAAGGUUAGCUAAUCCUGGUCGGACAUCAGGAGGUUAGUGCAAUGGCAUAAGCUAGCUUGACUGCGAGCGUGACGGCGCGAGCAGGUGCGAAAGCAGGUCAUAGUGAUCCGGUGGUUCUGAAUGGAAGGGCCAUCGCUCAACGGAUAAAAGGUACUCCGGGGAUAACAGGCUGAUACCGCCCAAGAGUUCAUAUCGACGGCGGUGUUUGGCACCUCGAUGUCGGCUCAUCACAUCCUGGGGCUGAAGUAGGUCCCAAGGGUAUGGCUGUUCGCCAUUUAAAGUGGUACGCGAGCUGGGUUUAGAACGUCGUGAGACAGUUCGGUCCCUAUCUGCCGUGGGCGCUGGAGAAUUGAGGGGGGCUGCUCCUAGUACGAGAGGACCGGAGUGGACGCAUCACUGGUGUUCGGGUUGUCAUGCCAAUGGCACUGCCCGGUAGCUAAAUGCGGAAGAGAUAAGUGCUGAAAGCAUCUAAGCACGAAACUUGCCCCGAGAUGAGUUCUCCCUGAGACUUUAAGUCUCCUGAAGGAACGUUGAAGACGACGACGUUGAUAGGCCGGGUGUGUAAGCGCAGCGAUGCGUUGAGCUAACCGGUACUAAUGAACCGUGAGGCUUAACCUU
Molecule: ribosomal RNA, 2758 nt
Filed under: Klebsiella pneumoniae
Lineage: Bacteria; Pseudomonadati; Pseudomonadota; Gammaproteobacteria; Enterobacterales; Enterobacteriaceae
Description: bacterial LSU rRNA
Rfam family: Bacterial large subunit ribosomal RNA
Source: RNAcentral